GUGACAGCCUUAGAGGGUAAAGAACUCUUUAUCCACAGAACGGAUACAAGUUGUCACAUAAGCUUCCCUGUACUGGUGUGCUAAUGUACCUCAGCCCUAACCAGAACCAUCUGUAGGGUUGAGGGGGUAGUUCAGUCUCCAUGGCUCAUUCAGUCCUUGGUCUCU
Unclassified non-coding RNA from Chelonoidis abingdonii (Abingdon island giant tortoise), 165 nucleotides. Lineage: Eukaryota; Metazoa; Chordata; Testudines; Testudinidae. The record is from Ensembl.